Suncus etruscus (white-toothed pygmy shrew) is the source of this 102-nucleotide small nuclear RNA. The record is from RefSeq and is a predicted model, not a curated record. Lineage: Eukaryota; Metazoa; Chordata; Mammalia; Eulipotyphla; Soricidae.
UCACUUUGGCAGCAAACAUAUUAAAAUUAGAAAAAUACAGAGAAGAUUGGCAUGACCCUGCACAAGGAUGACACGCAAAUUUGUGAAGCAUUUCAUAUUUUU